AAUAGAUACCCAGGUAGUCCACGCCGUAAACGAUGUCGACUUGGAGGUCGUGCCCCUGAGGCGUGGCUUCCGGAGCUAACGCGUUAAGUCGACCGCCUGGGGAGUACGGCCGCAAGGUUAAAACUCAAAUGAAUUGACGGGGGCCCGCACAAGCGGUGGAGCAUGUGGUUUAAUUCGAUGCAACGCGAAGAACCUUACCUACUCUUGACAUCCAGAGAACUUAGCAGAGAUGCUUUGGUGCCUUCGGGAACUCUGAGACAGGUGCUGCAUGGCUGUCGUCAGCUCGUGUUGUGAAUGUUGGGUUAAGUCCCGCAACGAGCGCAACCCUUAUCCUUUGUUGCCUAGCGGUUAGGCCGGGAACUCAAAGGAGACUGCCAGUGAUAAACUGGAGGAAGGUGGGGAUGACGUCAAGUCAUCAUGGCCCUUACGAGUAGGGCUACACACGUGCUACAAUGGCGCAUACAAAGAGAAGCGACCUCGCGAGAGCAAGCGGACCUCAUAAAGUGCGUCGUAGUCCGGAUUGGAGU
This 527-nucleotide ribosomal RNA is filed under the name uncultured bacterium. RNAcentral's name for it is "bacterial SSU rRNA". It matches the Rfam family "Bacterial small subunit ribosomal RNA", at positions 777 to 1304 of the family's 1533-position model. The record is from RNAcentral.